UAACGAAUUUUCCGCAAUGCGCGAAAGCGUGACGGAGCAAUGCCGCGUGUGGGAUGAAGCGGUUACGCCGUGUAAACCACUGUCAGGACCUAGGAAGAACUGACCGGGUCCAGAGGAAGGGUCGGCUAAUCUCGUGCCAGCAGCCGCGGUAAGACGAGAGACCCGAGCGUUAAUCGGAAUCACUGGGCUUAAAGGGUGCGCAGGCGGAUCGGUAAGCAUCUUGUGAAAUACCACGGCUCAACCGUGGAAUUGCGGGGUGAACUGCCGGUCUUGAGGCAGGUAGAGGUCGUCGGAACGUUCGGUGGAGCGGUGAAAUGCGUAGAUAUCGAACGGAACGCCAAAGGAGAAGUCAGACGACUGGGCCUGUCCUGACGCUCAGGCACGAAAGCGUGGGGAUCAAACAGGAUUAGAUACCCCCGUAGUCC
Molecule: ribosomal RNA, 425 nt
Filed under: uncultured prokaryote
Description: bacterial SSU rRNA
Rfam family: Bacterial small subunit ribosomal RNA
Source: RNAcentral